Molecule: ribosomal RNA, 414 nt
Filed under: uncultured microorganism
Description: bacterial SSU rRNA
Rfam family: Archaeal small subunit ribosomal RNA
Source: RNAcentral
CAGCAGCCGCGGUAAUUCCGGCGGCCCGAGUGGCGGUCACUAUUAUUGGGCUUAAAGCGUCCGUAGCCGGGUUGGGAAGGCCUCCGGGAAAUCUGGCCGCUUAACGGUCAGAAUGCCGGAGGAUACUCCCAGCCUAGGGAGCGGGAGAGGCCGAGGGGAUUCCCGGGGUAGGGGUGAAAUCCUAUAAUCCCGGGAGGACCACCUGUGGCGAAGGCGCUCGGCUGGAACGCGUCCGACGGUGAGGGACGAAGGCCAGGGGAGCAAACCGGAUUAGAUACCCGGGUAGUCCUGGCUGUAAACGAUGCGGACUUUGUGUCGGACAAGCUAUGAGCUUGUCCGGUGCCGGAGGGAAACCGUUAAGUCCGCCGCCUGGGGAGUACGGCCGCAAGGCUGAAACUUAAAGGAAUUGGCGGG